AUGAAGGAGCUUUUCAAGAUGGAUGAUCUUGGUAUUUUGAGUUACUGCCUCGGGAUGGAGGAACAUCAAAAUCCGGAGGGGAUCACACUAUGCCAGGAGGCAUAUGCAAGGAAGGUACUUGAAAGCCGUAGCAUGAAAGAUUGCAAUCGCAUUGUCGCUUCAAUGAAACCUCGUCUUGAGCUAAGAAAGAAGAAGAUGGUGAAUCUUCUCGGCUACAGUGGUAGUGACAAGGAAGGAAUUGUCGACGAUCGUAAGAGUUCCUCGGAAGUGACAUAUUUCCUUGGUGGAAGCAUAGUAAGCUGGUUAUCACAAAGACAGAAAGUGGUGACAUCGACUUCAAGUGAAGCAGAGUGUCAAGGUGUGUGGCUAGGAAGGCUACACGGUGAUCUCAACGUUGACAGUGAGUCUACGACUUUUCUACGCGAGGAUCCAGUGCGGCGUGAAAGGAGCAAGCAUGUAUCACUACAUAAAGGAUUGCGUGGAAGAAGGCAAAAUGAAGGUCAACUAUGGUUGCAUCGAUGA
This 522-nucleotide ribosomal RNA is filed under the name Triticum aestivum (bread wheat). RNAcentral describes it as "partial small subunit ribosomal RNA". Lineage: Eukaryota; Viridiplantae; Streptophyta; Magnoliopsida; Poales; Poaceae. The record is from RNAcentral.